Molecule: ribosomal RNA, 160 nt
Filed under: uncultured bacterium
Lineage: Bacteria
Description: partial 16S ribosomal RNA
Rfam family: Bacterial small subunit ribosomal RNA
Source: RNAcentral
UGGGGAAUAUUGCACAAUGGGGGAAACCCUGAUGCAGCCAUGCCGCGUGUGUGAAGAAGGCCUUCGGGUUGUAAAGCACUUUCAGUUGUGAGGAAAAGUUAGUAGUUAAUACCUGCUAGCCGUGACGUUAACAACAGAAGAAGCACCGGCUAACUCUGUG